AGCGGCGGACGGGUGAGUAACGCGUGGGUAACCUGCCUCAUACAGGGGGAUAACAGUUAGAAAUGACUGCUAAUACCGCAUGAGACCACGGUACCGCAUGGUACAGUGGUAAAAACUCCGGUGGUAUGAGAUGGACCCGCGUCUGAUUAGGUAGUUGGUGGGGUAACGGCCUACCAAGCCGACGAUCAGUAGCCGACCUGAGAGGGUGACCGGCCACAUUGGGACUGAGACACGGCCCAG
This 240-nucleotide ribosomal RNA is filed under the name uncultured bacterium. Its description in RNAcentral is "partial 16S ribosomal RNA". It matches the Rfam family "Bacterial small subunit ribosomal RNA", at positions 94 to 334 of the family's 1533-position model. The record is from RNAcentral.